GAUGAACGCUGGCGGCGUGCCUAAUACAUGCAAGUCGAGCGAACAGAUGAGGAGCUUGCUCCUCUGACGUUAGCGGCGGACGGGUGAGUAACACGUGGAUAACCUCCCUAUAAGACUGGGAUAACUUCGGGAAACCGGAGCUAAUACCGGAUAAUAUAUUGAACCGCAUGGGUCAAUAGUGAAAGUCGGUUUUGCUGUCACUUAUAGCUGGAUCUGCGCCGCAUUAGCUAGUUGGUAAGGUAACGGCUUACCAAGGCAAGGAUGCGUAGCCGACCUGAGAGGGGGAUAGGCCACACGAGAACGGGGACACGGUCCAGGCGCCUGCGGGAGGGAGCAGAAGGGAAUCUUCCGCAGUGGGCGAAAGCCUGACAGAGCAACGCCGAGUGAGUGAUGAAGGUCUUCGGAUCGUAAAACUCUGUUAUUAGGGAAAAACAAAUGUGUAAGUAACUGUGCACGUCGUGACGGUACCUAAUCAGAAAGCCACGGCUAACUACGUG
This 497-nucleotide ribosomal RNA is filed under the name uncultured bacterium. RNAcentral's name for it is "partial 16S ribosomal RNA". It matches the Rfam family "Bacterial small subunit ribosomal RNA", at positions 28 to 507 of the family's 1533-position model. The record is from RNAcentral.